AUUGAACGCUGGCGGCAUGCCUUACACAUGCAAGUCGAACGGCAGCACGGGAGCAAUCCUGGUGGCGAGUGGCGAACGGGUGAGUAAAGUAUCGGAACGUGCCCAGUCGUGGGGGCUAACGUAGCGAAAGUUACGCUAAUACCGCAUACGAUCCAUGGAUGAAAGCGGGGGAUCGCAAGACCUCGCGCGAUUGGAGCGGCCGAUAGCAGAUUAGGUAGUUGGUGGGGUAAAGGCUCACCAAGCCGACGAUCUGUAGCUGGUCUGAGAGGACGACCAGCCACACUGGGACUGAGACACGGCCCAGACUCCUACGGGAGGCAGCAGUGGGGAAUUUUGGACAAUGGGCGCAAGCCUGAUCCAGCCAUGCCGCGUGCAGGAUGAAGGCCUUCGGGUUGUAAACUGCUUUUGUACGGAACGAAAAGGUUUGACUUAAUACGUUGGACUCAUGACGGUACCGUAAGAAUAAGCACCGGCUAACUACGUGCCAGCAGCCGCCGUAA
RNAcentral lists this ribosomal RNA (500 nucleotides) under uncultured bacterium. Its description in RNAcentral is "partial 16S ribosomal RNA". It matches the Rfam family "Bacterial small subunit ribosomal RNA", at positions 30 to 523 of the family's 1533-position model. The record is from RNAcentral.